UACGGAGGGUGCGAGCGUUGUCCGGAAUCAUUGGGCGUAAAGGGCGCGUAGGUGGCGGGACAAGCGUGCGGUGAAAGCUCGGGGCUCAACCCCGCGUCGGCCGUGCGAACUGUUUUGCUUGAGCACUGUAGAGGCAGGCGGAAUUCCGGGUGUAGCGGUGGAAUGCGUAGAGAUCCGGAGGAACACCGGUGGCGAAGGCGGCAUCCUGGACCGACACUGACGCUGAGGAGCGAAAGCUAGGGGAGCAAACGGG
RNAcentral lists this ribosomal RNA (253 nucleotides) under uncultured bacterium. RNAcentral describes it as "partial 16S ribosomal RNA". It matches the Rfam family "Bacterial small subunit ribosomal RNA", at positions 524 to 776 of the family's 1533-position model. The record is from RNAcentral.